RNAcentral lists this ribosomal RNA (385 nucleotides) under uncultured bacterium. Its description in RNAcentral is "bacterial SSU rRNA". It matches the Rfam family "Bacterial small subunit ribosomal RNA", at positions 355 to 732 of the family's 1533-position model. The record is from RNAcentral.
UGGGGAAUAUUGGGCAAUGGGCGCAAGCCUGACCCAGCCAUGCCGCGUGAGUGAUGAAGGCCUUCGGGUCGUAAAGCUCUGUGGGGAGGGACGAAAAGACCCUGGCUAAUAUCCAGGGGAACUGACGGUACCUCCUUAGCAAGCACCGGCUAACUCCGUGCCAGCAGCCGCGGUAAUACGGAGGGUGCAAACGUUGCUCGGAAUCAUUGGGCGUAAAGCGCACGUAGGCGGCUUGUUAAGUCGGGUGUGAAAGCCCUGGGCUCAACCCAGGAAGUGCAUUCGAAACUGGCAAGCUUGAAUAUGGAAGAGGGUCGCGGAAUUCCCGGUGUAGAGGUGAAAUUCGUAGAUAUCGGGAGGAACACCAGUGGCGAAGGCGGCUGACUGG